Molecule: transfer RNA, 67 nt
Filed under: Trichonephila clavata
Lineage: Eukaryota; Metazoa; Arthropoda; Arachnida; Araneae; Nephilidae
Description: tRNA-Arg
Rfam family: tRNA (bases 3-59)
About the family: Transfer RNA (tRNA) molecules are approximately 80 nucleotides in length.
Source: RNAcentral
ACAGUGCAAUGGAGAGUGCGUUGGACUUCUAAUCCAAAGGUCAUGGGUUCGAAUCCCACCUGCAAUG